RNAcentral lists this ribosomal RNA (481 nucleotides) under uncultured bacterium. RNAcentral describes it as "bacterial SSU rRNA". It matches the Rfam family "Bacterial small subunit ribosomal RNA", at positions 30 to 507 of the family's 1533-position model. The record is from RNAcentral.
AUUGAACGCUGGCGGCAUGCUUUACACAUGCAAGUCGAACGGUAACAGCACUUCGGUGGCUGACGAGUGGCGAACGGGUGAGUAAUGUAUCGGAACGUGCCCAGUAUGGGGGAUAACUACUCGAAAGAGUGGCUAAUACCGCAUGAGAUCUCUGGAUGAAAGCGGGGGACCGUAAGGCCUCGCGCUACUGGAGCGGCCGAUAUCAGAUUAGGUUGUUGGUGGGGUAAAGGCCUACCAAGCCUGCGAUCUGUAGCUGGUCUGAGAGGACGACCAGCCACACUGGGACUGAGACACGGCCCAGACUCCUACGGGAGGCAGCAGUGGGGAAUUUUGGACAAUGGACGCAAGUCUGAUCCAGCAAUGCCGCGUGCAGGACGAAGGCCUUCGGGUUGUAAACUGCUUUUGUACGGAACGAAAAGCCUUCUUCUAAUACAGGAGGGUCAUGACGGUACCGUAAGAAUAAGCACCGGCUAACUACGUG